CAAUCCAGGUCGGUUUCUAUCUAUGCAGCUGCCUUCUUCAGUACGAAAGGACAAAGAAGGAGGGACCCAUGCCACAAGCACGUCCUAGCCCAAUAACUGAACAAAGCUAAAGUUAAACAACUACCACCACGACCAAAGAUCGUGGUCU
Molecule: ribosomal RNA, 148 nt
Filed under: Plestiodon brevirostris (shortnose skink)
Lineage: Eukaryota; Metazoa; Chordata; Lepidosauria; Squamata; Scincidae
Description: partial 16S ribosomal RNA
Source: RNAcentral